AAGACAUGCAAGACAAUUGUGGCUAAGGCAUGAAAAGGGUAGGACAAAGUUGUGAUUGUGGCAUGGUUUGGUUAGGGAUUUACAUGAUGAACCUAAACAAUGUUGAAUAACUUUGAUCAAGAUCAAGUUUAAUUGAAGAAAGACAUUGACAUUGUUAUGUCUAAGGCAUGCAAGACAAUAUGUGGCUAAGGCAUGGUUUGGUUAGGGAUUUGUAUGAUAAACCUAAUCAAUGUCAAAUAACUUUGAUCAAGAUCCAAGUUCAAUUGAGGAAAGACAUUGGCAUUGUUAUGGUCAAGGCAUGCAAGACAAUGUGUGGCUAAGGGAUGAAAAGGGUAGGAUUAAGUUGUGAUUGUGGUAUGGUUGGGCUAAACAAGUUUAUGUGUUUAGUGUUGGUACAAGGAGUUGUAGAUUGUUUUGAGAACUAGAACUCUUUAUUUUUAUAAAUGACAUUAUUCUACACUUAACUAUGGUUAUUUAAGUGAUGAAUAUUCUUUUAAAUAAUUAAUUAAAUUAAUAAUUAAUGGGUUAAGUUUGAAAUUUAUUUAAUAUUUUACAUCACUUGAUUUAUUAUAUUAAAAUAGGUUAGUGGAUUUAUUACUUUUAAAAAUAUUAAAAGUGAUAAAU
Molecule: long non-coding RNA, 624 nt
Filed under: Solanum tuberosum (potato)
Lineage: Eukaryota; Viridiplantae; Streptophyta; Magnoliopsida; Solanales; Solanaceae
Description: long non-coding RNA (STUB_LNC005888)
Source: RNAcentral